This 508-nucleotide ribosomal RNA is filed under the name uncultured bacterium. RNAcentral's name for it is "bacterial SSU rRNA". It matches the Rfam family "Bacterial small subunit ribosomal RNA", at positions 8 to 526 of the family's 1533-position model. The record is from RNAcentral.
AGAGUUUGAUCCUGGCUCAGGACGAACGCUGGCGGCGUGCUUAACACAUGCAAGUCAAGGGGGCCCAGCAAUGGGCAACCGGCGAACGGGUGCGUAACACGUGAGCAACCUACCGAAUUGUGGGGGAUAGCCGGCCCAACGGCCGGGUAAUACCGCAUACGAUCGAGACCAGGCAUUUGGACUCGAUGAAAUCUACGGAGCAAUUCGAGGGGCUCGCGGCCUAUCAGCUAGUUGGUGAGGUAACGGCUCACCAAGGCGACGACGGGUAGCUGGUCUGAGAGGAUGGCCAGCCACAUUGGGACUGAGAUACGGCCCAGACUCCUACGGGAGGCAGCAGUGGGGAAUCUUGCGCAAUGGCCUAACGGCUGACGCAGCGACGCCGCGUGAGGGAUGACGCUCUUCGGAGUGUAAACCUCUUUUGCCCGGGAUGAAUUGCCAGUUUUCACUGGCUUGACGGUACCGGGUGAAUAAGCACCGGCUAACUCCGUGCCAGCAGCCGCGGUAAUAC